AUUGAACGCUGGCGGCAGGCCUAACACAUGCAAGUCGAGCGGAUGAAGGGAGCUUGCUCCUGGAUUCAGCGGCGGACGGGUGAGUAAUGCCUAGGAAUCUGCCUGGUAGUGGGGGAUAACGUCCGGAAACGGGCGCUAAUACCGCAUACGUCCUGAGGGAGAAAGUGGUGGAUCUUCGGACCUCACGCUAUCAGAUGAGCCUAGGUCGGAUUAGCUAGUUGGUGGGGUAAAGGCCUACCAAGGCGACGAUCCGUAACUGGUCUGAGAGGAUGAUCAGUCACACUGGAAAUGAGAAACGGUCCAGACUCCUAAGGGAGGCAGCAGUGGGGAAUAUUGGACAAUGGGCGAAAGCCUGAUCCAGCCAUGCCGCGUGUGUGAAGAAGGUCUUCGGAUUGUAAAGCACUUUAAGUUGGGAAGAAGGGAAGUAAGUUAAUACCUUGCUGUUUUGACGUUACCAACAGAAUAAGCACCGGCUAACUUCGUG
This 484-nucleotide ribosomal RNA is filed under the name uncultured bacterium. Its description in RNAcentral is "partial 16S ribosomal RNA". It matches the Rfam family "Bacterial small subunit ribosomal RNA", at positions 30 to 507 of the family's 1533-position model. The record is from RNAcentral.